RNAcentral lists this ribosomal RNA (350 nucleotides) under uncultured bacterium. Its description in RNAcentral is "bacterial SSU rRNA". It matches the Rfam family "Bacterial small subunit ribosomal RNA", at positions 356 to 703 of the family's 1533-position model. The record is from RNAcentral.
GAGGAAUAUUGGUCAAUGGACGAAAGUCUGAACCAGCCAUGCCGCGUGAAGGAUGACGGCCCUACGGGUUGUAAACUUCUUUUAUGUAGGAAGAAACCUCUCUUCGUGAAGAGAGCUGACGGUACUACACGAAUAAGCACCGGCUAACUCCGUGCCAGCAGCCGCGGUAAUACGGAGGGUGCAAGCGUUAUCCGGAUUCAUUGGGUUUAAAGGGUGCGUAGGCGGGUUAUUAAGUCAGUGGUGAAAGCCCACAGCUCAACUGUGGAACUGCCAUUGAUACUGAUAACCUUGAAUAUGAUUGAAGUUGGCGGAAUAUGACAUGUAGCGGUGAAAUGCAUAGAUAUGUCAUA